AGAUGUGAGGGCAAUCUGGCUGCAAUGUCUGUCACUCUAUUGAUCACUAGGAUUGAUUCCAUUCAUCUGAUUGACUACAGAUGUUCCUCUCCUUCCUUAUCACUCCAUGUGCACCACUCCCAUGCUGCAUGCUUGGUACAAAGAAUAGCCUUCCCUGAUAGAGGAGGACACUUUUUUGGUCAAGGAUUUAGGAGUAGCUGUGCUCCCCUGUUAGAACCUCCAAACAUGCUCUUAAAUGUCCAUUUGCAGGAGAAUGUAGGAUAGUAAACUUCCAAAACUCCAGACACAUCCAAAUGAGGUACCACAUGUAGCAAUCUGCCUUUCUUA
This 327-nucleotide small nuclear RNA is filed under the name Vulpes vulpes (red fox). RNAcentral's name for it is "7SK RNA (ENSVVUG00000020671.1)". It matches the Rfam family "7SK RNA". Rfam says of the family: 7SK was discovered as an abundant small nuclear RNA in the mid-70s but a possible function has only recently been suggested. Two independent studies have found that 7SK RNA binds the CDK9/cyclin T complex (known as elongation factor P-TEFb). The record is from Rfam by way of RNAcentral. Lineage: Eukaryota; Metazoa; Chordata; Mammalia; Carnivora; Canidae.